GUGGGAAUGUGAGGGGCUGUUCAAGCAUUGUGGUAUCUGUUCUCAUCAUUCAGGACUGAUCCAGGACUUACCGCUCCACUGAGAGAUGAUGGGAGAAGAUUUUAUCAGCAGAUUUGGGAGAGGCGAAGGUCGAGAGCCAUGCGUCCUCCAAAACACAACCCUGCCAAGCCGCACUGCUUCUUGACACACUGCUCGCUUAAGCCAGAAUCCAGCCUCACCAAUGUGUCGGAGGAAACACUGUACGACUGGUGACAGUAUCAGUGUGCAUACGCCUGACCCGCCACAGGAGUCGCUAGAGCACGAUGGGACAAGGACAUCCCGGCCGGCCAAACCCUCCUCUGACCCGGACGACGCUGGUCCAAUUGUGUGCCGCCUCAUGGGUCUUCCAGUCGCAGCCGGUUGUGACACAGCUCGGGAUCGAAUCCGGGUCUGUAGUGACGUCUCAAGCACUGCGAUGCAGCUUCCAGGAAUUGUGUACAGAUCCUUGCGACAUGGGGCCGUGCAUUAUCAUUCUGAAACAUGAGGUGAUGGCGGCGGAUGAAUGGCACGACAAUGGGCUGCAGGAUCUCAUCACAGUAUCUCUGUGCAUUUCAAUUGUCAUCGAUAAAAUGCAAUUGUGUUUGUUUUCUGUAGCUUAUCGUUGUCCGUAGCUUAUGCCUGCCCAUACCAUAACUCCACUGCCACUAUGAUGCACUCUGUUCAAAACAUUGACAUCAGUAAACCGCUCGCCCACACAACGUUGUGAGGCCGUUUGGACGUACUGCCAAAUUCUCUAAAACGAUGUUGGAGGUGGCUUAUGGUAAAUUCUCUGGAAACAGCUCUCUUGGACAUUCCUGCAGUCAGCAUGCCAAUUGCAUGCUCCCUAAAAACUUGAGACAUUUGUGGCAUUGUGUUGUGUGACAAAACUGCACAUUUUAGAGUGGCCUUUUAUUUUCCCCAGCACAAGGUGCAUCUGUCUAAUGAUCAUUCUGUUUAAUCAGCUUCUUGAUAUGCCACACCUGUCAGGUGGAUGGAUUACCUUGGAAAAGCAGAAAUGCUCACUAACAGGGAUGUAAACAAAUUUGUGAACAAAACAUUUGCGAUAAAUACGUUUUUUUGCGUAUUAAACAUUUCUGGGAUAUUUUUUUCAGCUCAUGAAACAGAGGACCAACACUUUACAUGUUGCGUUUAUGUUUUUGUUCAGUGUAUAUUGCAAUAUUACUAAAUAAAUGUGACAAUUUCUACGCUAGAUUAAAUACAAUAACACACACACACACACACACACACACACAUUCAGACAGGACAGACAUUUCCAGGCGAUGUAUUGAAAUGAUUUCCGGAUGCACUUAAGACAUGUAUAAAUACUGUAGUGUGUGGCCUGAGAAAAUAACCUUUAAUUCUGUUGAAAAUGUCCAAAACCAGAUUUAUUUUUAGCCUUGUUUACUUCCCAUAUUAAGGUCACUUAUAAUGGGAUGGGAGACAAGACGCCAUGUUGUUUGACUGGAGUCCGGAGGCUAGUGGUGAUGACCCCAGUGGAAUUUGUUUUGGACGGUGAGAAGAUCUUAGUUCAACCUCAACAGAAUCCAAUACAGACAAAUAAACGCUCCUCUACUAAA
Long non-coding RNA from Oncorhynchus nerka (sockeye salmon), 1595 nucleotides. RefSeq lists it as uncharacterized. Lineage: Eukaryota; Metazoa; Chordata; Actinopteri; Salmoniformes; Salmonidae. The record is from RefSeq and is a predicted model, not a curated record. The transcript has 2 exons.